GCACCAAAGAUAAAGAGAAAUAAUAAUAAUAAUAAAAAUUGUUGAUGUAGAAAUCUAGUCGAAAUCAUUACUAUGACCAAGUGACUACGUCAACACUUGAAUUUGUAGUUUUUAGGGGCGACGGUGUUGCUUGAACUUGUUUUCUUCGAGUAGAAGUUGACUACCAUGAACACUCUCACUUCACUUGCAAACACAAUGAAAAGUUGGGGUGGUGUCGGAUGUUUUUCCGACAAAAACUCUCCGACACUCAAGCCAGUUCUCGAGUCUUGGAAAAAACUUGCGCCACGCUUCCUUUGGCUCAAUUGUAACUAUUUGAAGUAAAGAUGUUAAUUCUCCACAGGAAAAAAAAUAAUUCAAAAAGAUAAGUUUGAUAAUCAGAGCGACAGAGUUUCCCCCCAAAAAGAACUGUCUUACCUUGGUUUAGAUUUUGUAGGAUUUUUAUAAACAGUCGAAGAAGUUGUGCCACCAUUAACUUGUAGAUCUUAGUGGGUUGUUUGAAUGUGUCUGUUGAGUAAUGGGUGAGUGCAUCAGUUACUAGACAGUUGGAGGGUUGGCGUGGCAAUUGUCAUGGCAUGGGCAUCGUGCUUGAUUUUUCUGAGACAACUCGCCGGUUGACCUUUGACCAAAUCUUUGGAUUGACAUAAUUUUUGCUCUUCUCACGGAUUUUUUGAUCAUCCUCACAUAUGCGACCAGAUGAAAACCUUCUCGAGGCACCACUCCCCUCGAAGAUUGCUUAUAGAACAAGGAGGUAACAUUAUGCUCAGACGUUUAUCGGGUAGCGUUGUUUUAACCACCCAAACAAUAAUCAUAAAAGGAAAGAAGCUCUGGGUAUGGUAAUCUCAUUAAUUGUUCUUCCUCGUCAGAAUUUAAAAUCGAGAUAUAUUAUAAUAGAUAAUUUUACUGUAAGUGUCUUAUGUUUUUUAGUUCUUUAAGACUAUUGAAGAUCAACUAAGCAAUACCGCAAUUUGAAUAUUUGAGGCUAGAAGAAAAUUACCAACCCCACUGAUUCACUCAAGAGUUUAGAAUCCCUUUCCAUUUGAGAGUAGGGGUUAAUUGUUU
Molecule: long non-coding RNA, 1059 nt
Filed under: Citrus x clementina
Lineage: Eukaryota; Viridiplantae; Streptophyta; Magnoliopsida; Sapindales; Rutaceae
Description: Citrus clementina (C. clementina) long non-coding RNA (CCLE_LNC005666)
Source: RNAcentral